Molecule: ribosomal RNA, 735 nt
Filed under: uncultured bacterium
Lineage: Bacteria
Description: bacterial SSU rRNA
Rfam family: Bacterial small subunit ribosomal RNA
Source: RNAcentral
GAGCUUGCUCUUAUGGAUGAGUUGCGAACGGGUGAGUAACACGUGGGGAACCUACCUUCUAGCGGGGGAUAACACAUAGAAAUGUGUGCUAAUACCGCAUAAUAGUAUUUGAUGCAUAUCAGAUACUUGAAAGGCGCAAUUGCGUCACUAGAAGAUGGCCCCGCGGUGCAUUAGCUAGUUGGUGAGGUAACGGCUCACCAAGGCAAUGAUGCAUAGCCGACCUGAGAGGGUGAUCGGCCACACUGGGACUGAGACACGGCCCAGACUCCUACGGGAGGCAGCAGUAGGGAAUCUUCGGCAAUAGACGCAAGUCUGACCGAGCAACGCCGCGUGAGUGAAGAAGGUUUUCGGAUCGUAAAACUCUGUUGUAAGAGAAGAACGUUGAUGAGAGUGGAAAGUUCAUCAAGUGACGGUAUCUUACCAGAAAGCCACGGCUAACUACGUGCCAGCAGCCGCGGUAAUACGUAGGUGGCAAGCGUUGUCCGGAUUUAUUGGGCGUAAAGCGAGCGCAGGCGGUUGAUUAAGUCUGAUGUGAAAGCCCCCGGCUCAACCGGGGAGGGUCAUUGGAAACUGGUCAACUUGAGUGCAGAAGAGGAGAGUGGAAUUCCAUGUGUAGCGGUGAAAUGCGUAGAUAUAUGGAGGAACACCAGUGGCGAAGGCGGCUCUCUGGUCUGUAACUGACGCUGAGGCUCGAAAGCGUGGGAGCGAACAGGAUUAGAUACCCUGGUAGUCCAC